This 253-nucleotide ribosomal RNA is filed under the name uncultured prokaryote. RNAcentral's name for it is "partial 16S ribosomal RNA". It matches the Rfam family "Bacterial small subunit ribosomal RNA", at positions 524 to 776 of the family's 1533-position model. The record is from RNAcentral.
UACGGAGGAUGCAAGCGUUAUCCGGAAUUAUUGGGCGUAAAGCGUCCGCAGGUGGUUAUUCAAGUCUGCUGUUAAAGCGCAGGGCUUAACUCUGUAACGGCGGUGGAAACUGGAUGACUAGAGUAUGGUAGGGGUAGCGGGAAUGCCCAGUGUAGCGGUGAAAUGCGUAGAUAUUGGGAAGAACACCAGCGGCGAAAGCGCGCUACUGGGCCAUAACUGACACUCAUGGACGAAAGCUAGGGGAGCGAAAGGG